GCCUACGGGACGCAGCAGUGGGGGAUAUUGCACAAUGGGGGGAACCCUGAUGCAGCGACGCCGCGUGGGUGAAGAAGCGCCUCGGUGCGUAAAGCCCUGUCAGCAGGGAAGAAAAUGACGGUACCUGAAGAAGAAGCCCCGGCUAACUACGUGCCAGCAGCCGCGGUAAUACGUAGGGGGCAAGCGUUAUCCGGAUUUACUGGGUGUAAAGGGGGCGCAGACGGCGAUGCAAGCCAGGAGUGAAAGCCCGGGGCCCAACCCCGGGACUGCUCUUGGAACUGCGUGGCUGGAGUGCAGGAGGGGCA
This 305-nucleotide ribosomal RNA is filed under the name uncultured bacterium. Its description in RNAcentral is "bacterial SSU rRNA". It matches the Rfam family "Bacterial small subunit ribosomal RNA", at positions 337 to 659 of the family's 1533-position model. The record is from RNAcentral.